CAUGCAAGUCGAGCGAGGUCCAUCCAGUGGUAACACUGGUGAAGACCUAGCGGCGAACGGGUGAGUAACACGUGAGAAACCUGCCCCGAAGACUGGGAUAACUCUCCGAAAGGAGAGCUAAUACCAGAUGCCCUCACCGGGCCGCAUGACUUGGUGAGGAAAUGGAUUCCGCUUCGGGAGGGUCUCGCGGCCUAUCAGCUUGUUGGUGAGGUAACGGCUCACCAAGGCUUCGACGGGUAGCUGGUCUGAGAGGAUGAUCAGCCACACUGGGACUGAGACACGGCCCAGACUCCUACGGGAGGCAGCAGUGGGGAAUCUUGCGCAAUGGGCGAAAGCCUGACGCAGCAACGCCGCGUGGGGGAUGAAGGCUCUCGGGUUGUAAACCCCUUUCAGCAGGGAAGAUUAUGACGGUACCUGCAGAAGAAGCCCCGGCCAACUACGUGCCAGCAGCCGCGGUAAUACGUAGGGGGCAAGCGUUGUCCGGAUUUAUUGGGCGUAAAGAGCUUGUAGGCGGCUUGGUAAGUCGAGUGUGAAAACUCCAGGCUCAACCUGGAGACGCCAUUCGAUACUGCCAUGGCUAGAGUCCGGUAGAGGAGCACGGAAUUCCUGGUGUAGCGGUGAAAUGCGCAGAUAUCAGGAGGAACACCAGCAGCGAAGGCGGUGCUCUGGGCCGGUACUGACGCUGAGAAGCGAAAGCGUGGGGAGCGAACAGGAUUAGAUACCCUGGUAGUCCACGCCGUAAACGUUGGGCACUAGGUGUGGGUCCCUAUCGACGGGAUCUGUGCCGUAGCUAACGCAUUAAGUGCCCCGCCU
RNAcentral lists this ribosomal RNA (813 nucleotides) under uncultured bacterium. Its description in RNAcentral is "bacterial SSU rRNA". It matches the Rfam family "Bacterial small subunit ribosomal RNA", at positions 54 to 874 of the family's 1533-position model. The record is from RNAcentral.